GACAGAGGGUGCAAACGUUGUUCGGAAUUACUGGGCGUAAAGCGCGUGUAGGCGGUCGGGCAAGUCGGAUGUGAAAGCCCAGGGCUCAACCCUGGAAGUGCAUUCGAUACUGCUCGGCUAGAGUCCCGGAGAGGGUGGUGGAACUCUCGGUGUAGAGGUGAAAUUCGUAGAUAUCGAGAAGAACACCUGUGGCGAAGGCGGCCACCUGGACGGUGACUGACGCUGAGACGCGAAAGCGUGGGGAGCAAAC
This 250-nucleotide ribosomal RNA is filed under the name uncultured bacterium. RNAcentral's name for it is "partial 16S ribosomal RNA". It matches the Rfam family "Bacterial small subunit ribosomal RNA", at positions 524 to 773 of the family's 1533-position model. The record is from RNAcentral.